CCUACGGGGCGCAGCAGUGGGGAAUAUUGCACAAUGGGGGAAACCCUGAUGCAGCGACGCCGCGUGAGCGAAGAAGUAUUUCGGUAUGUAAAGCUCUAUCAGCAGGGAAGAAAAUGACGGUACCUGACUAAGAAGCUCCGGCUAAAUACGUGCCAGCAGCCGCGGUAAUACGUAGGGGGCAAGCGUUCUCCGGAUUUACUGGGUGCAAAGGGAGCGUAGACGGAAAGGCAAGUCAGAAGUGAAAGCCCAAGCCUCAACCAUGGGACUGCUUUUGAAACUGUCAAACUAGGGUACG
RNAcentral lists this ribosomal RNA (295 nucleotides) under uncultured bacterium. RNAcentral describes it as "partial 16S ribosomal RNA". It matches the Rfam family "Bacterial small subunit ribosomal RNA", at positions 338 to 650 of the family's 1533-position model. The record is from RNAcentral.